CAAAAUGUAGCUUAACCAAAGCAUCACGCUUACACCGUGAAAAUAUUCGUAAAACCCGAAUCAUUUUGA
This 69-nucleotide transfer RNA is filed under the name Sphaenorhynchus carneus. RNAcentral describes it as "tRNA-Val". It matches the Rfam family "tRNA". Rfam says of the family: Transfer RNA (tRNA) molecules are approximately 80 nucleotides in length. Their secondary structure includes four short double-helical elements and three loops (D, anti-codon, and T loops). The record is from RNAcentral. Lineage: Eukaryota; Metazoa; Chordata; Amphibia; Anura; Hylidae.